GUGAGCCGUGUAAUAGGCGACCAUUUCGCGCGGUUCGGGGGGCACUCACGUCAGCCGCCGGCGCCCGACUGCGUCUUAACCCCUAU
Molecule: non-coding RNA, 86 nt
Filed under: Salix viminalis (osier)
Lineage: Eukaryota; Viridiplantae; Streptophyta; Magnoliopsida; Malpighiales; Salicaceae
Source: RNAcentral